Molecule: ribosomal RNA, 1358 nt
Filed under: uncultured bacterium
Lineage: Bacteria
Description: bacterial SSU rRNA
Rfam family: Bacterial small subunit ribosomal RNA
Source: RNAcentral
GAUGAACGCUAGCUACAGGCUUAACACAUGCAAGUCGAGGGGCAGCAUGGUCUUAGCUUGCUAAGGCCGAUGGCGACCGGCGCACGGGUGAGUAACACGUAUCCAACCUGCCGUCUACUCUUGGACAGCCUUCUGAAAGGAAGAUUAAUACAAGAUGGCAUCAUGAGUCCGCAUGUUCACAUGAUUAAAGGUAUUCCGGUAGACGAUGGGGAUGCGUUCCAUUAGAUAGUAGGCGGGGUAACGGCCCACCUAGUCUUCGAUGGAUAGGGGUUCUGAGAGGAAGGUCCCCCACAUUGGAACUGAGACACGGUCCAAACUCCUACGGGAGGCAGCAGUGAGGAAUAUUGGUCAAUGGGCGAGAGCCUGAACCAGCCAAGUAGCGUGAAGGAUGACUGCCCUAUGGGUUGUAAACUUCUUUUAUAAAGGAAUAAAGUCGGGUAUGCAUACCCGUUUGCAUGUACUUUAUGAAUAAGGAUCGGCUAACUCCGUGCCAGCAGCCGCGGUAAUACGGAGGAUCCGAGCGUUAUCCGGAUUUAUUGGGUUUAAAGGGAGCGUAGAUGGAUGUUUAAGUCAGUUGUGAAAGUUUGCGGCUCAACCGUAAAAUUGCAGUUGAUACUGGAUAUCUUGAGUGCAGUUGAGGCAGGCGGAAUUCGUGGUGUAGCGGUGAAAUGCUUAGAUAUCACGAAGAACUCCGAUUGCGAAGGCAGCCUGCUAAGCUGCAACUGACAUUGAGGCUCGAAAGUGUGGGUAUCAAACAGGAUUAGAUACCCUGGUAGUCCACACGGUAAACGAUGAAUACUCGCUGUUUGCGAUAUACAGCAAGCGGCCAAGCGAAAGCGUUAAGUAUUCCACCUGGGGAGUACGCCGGCAACGGUGAAACUCAAAGGAAUUGACGGGGGCCCGCACAAGCGGAGGAACAUGUGGUUUAAUUCGAUGAUACGCGAGGAACCUUACCCGGGCUUAAAUUGCAGAUGAAUUACGGUGAAAGCCGUAAGCCGCAAGGCAUCUGUGAAGGUGCUGCAUGGUUGUCGUCAGCUCGUGCCGUGAGGUGUCGGCUUAAGUGCCAUAACGAGCGCAACCCUUGUUGUCAGUUACUAACAGGUUCCGCUGAGGACUCUGACAAGACUGCCAUCGUAAGAUGUGAGGAAGGUGGGGAUGACGUCAAAUCAGCACGGCCCUUACGUCCGGGGCUACGCACGUGUUACAAUGGGGGGUACAGAGGGCCGCUACCACGCGAGUGGAUGCCAAUCCCAAAAACCUCUCUCAGUUCGGACUGGAGUCUGCAACCCGACUCCACGAAGCUGGAUUCGCUAGUAAUCGCGCAUCAGCCACGGCGCGGUGAAUACGUUCCCGGGCCU